AAGCCGGCAAAAACAAACUGAACUACAAAUAAAUAAAUAUUUCAAAAUUAUGUACGUCACAAAUGGGAGAAAAGAUUUGGAGAAUGGGGCGGCGGCGGCGGCAGCAGCAGUUGGAGAAAUUGUUUUAUAUUAUGCGCAUAACGUAUUAAUUUAAAGUAAAAUGAUGAAGAAAUCCACUAAAUUUGUUCUCUUUUACUCAAUCGCCAGCAUGAAGCUGCCCAUUACAAUUAUUAAAAUAAGAGUAUUAGGCUAAUGUUAGAUAGUAUUUAAUCCUUCUUCCAAAGUCACAAGGGAAGAAAAUAACGUUUUAAGAAUAUUCCACGAAUCAAAAUGGAAGUAGCAUAGCAUGCAUCCCCCUUGGGCUUUGGUGGCUAGCAUUGACGGCCUAGACUCAGGCAUGACAUUUCUAGUUGACAAACACUCGCUCUGCCUCUCCCUCUGCCUGUCUAUAUAUAUAGUAUAGUUGAAGAACAAACUCCCUUAUAUACCCUUACUCAUAAUCCUUCCAAAUUUUUAUUUUUCUCUCGAAUGGCUGGUCUUCAAUACAAUUUCUUCCCCACCGAUUUCUUUUUCCCACCGCCCUCCGUAAAUCGUGACGCCACUGGCCCCCAAGUACUUCCGACAGUGAUCAAGUCCGACGAAACCACCGCCGAUUUCAAAGUACAGUCCUCGUCGCCAGCGGCCUUGGCAGUUCGCCGUGAAAUCAUGAAGAACAUUAUUCUAAAGGCUCCCCCUUCCUCCUCUAAUCCCUUAUUAGCUUCCACUGACAAUAACAAAAUUAAUCAAGGUGAGUCCACCACCUGAUCUUUGUGGCGCACAUAUAUAUUGUUCCAUCCGAUCCGGACUGAAUUUUUGGUUGUCUUUCGCAUGCAUAUAUGUAUGUAUUGUUCGACAUGCAAUUGUAAAAGGGUAGCUUCUGAUCAAGCUGAAUCAUUAUAAUUACUUAUAUAUUGAAUAAGAGAUGGAAUGUAUCGAUUUAACUACAUGAUAUGUAUGUAUGUAUAUGGUUGAGCUGCUUUAACUUUUCCUCCUGAAUUAUUUUUACACUCUUUUAAUUAAAUUGGCUGGAAGUCCAUAUUUAUUGGAUCAAAAAUGAUAUUAUGAGAGUAAUAAAUAUCAUUAAAUGUUAAAUAUUGCUGAAACAAUUAUUAAAGUGUCAUGAUUUUAUAUUUUUUUUAAAAAAAAUUAGACAACAUAAUUUUUGCUAUAAUAAUAUCAAUAACCUCUGAAUUCUUUUAAUUCUUUAUGACCGAUAUUAAAUUAUUAAUUGAUCUGCACGUCAAUAAGUGUAUUAAGAAGUAAUUCAUUCAUCCCUUAUAUUAAUAUAAGUCGUUUACGACACUUGACCACUUAGCUAGAUCAAUUGGCGUCCGGCGUUCUCCUUGUUCAUCUACAUAAUACUAGUACAUGAUAUAUAUAUAUAUAUAUACAGAACCGAUCAGGUGAGGGCUCUUUUAUUUUGUUAAAAUGCGGACCUUUUUUUUUUGUUUUUUUUUUGUAUUUUUUAAAACAACUAAAAAAAAAUAUUUAAUAUUUUAUGGAACUGAUAUUUUUCCAUAAUAUAAUGUUUUGGGCGUGAUUUGAAUACCUAUACCAAAAAAUUGUGGUACAGUCUGCACAGACUGUACAGACCUGUUUUGUUAUACGUAUCCAAAUCACAUCCAAAGCACUGUAUUAUGAAAAAAUUUCAGUUCCAUAAAAUAUUAAAAAAAAAAAUUUAGUUAUUUUUAAAAAAAAGACCAAAAAAAACAAACAAAAAAAAAGUCCGUAUUUUAACAAAGUAAGGGAGUCUUUGCCUGAUCCUGACCCUAUAUAUAUAUAUAUAUAUAUAUAUAUAUAUAAUUAUUAAUAUGUUUUAACAUUCACAAACUUCUUAUAAUUAAAUUGAAUUUGUUUGUGUAGACACUCUCAAUCAGCUCUUUGUUACCAAAUAAUAAAAUAAAAUAAAAAAUAAUAUCAUAUGCAAUAAUUAUAAAUAAAAAGUUGUGCACAAAAAGUAAAAUACAUGUAUUACAUAUUAAUAAAAAUGUUCUAUUGUAAGUUUGAUUUCUUAUUUUCUCUCUUUUCUAAAGUAUUUGUGUAUAAUUUAAGUUCAUAACGUUAGUAUACAAUAAAAAAAUAACUCUCAAUAAUCGCACGGCCCAUGGUGACUUAAGUUUGCCGUGUGUUAUGCGUUACUCCAUCCGUUAUUAAAAAAUUAUCGUUUUAAAAAAUAAAUUUUGUUCUAAAAAGAUUAUUGUUUUGAGUUUAACAAUACACAUUAGCUAUUUUUUUUUACUUUACCCUUAUUUAAAGUUUUUUUUUAUUUAAAGUUUUUUUCCCUUCCCAAUGAUUCUUAUUCAAUUUAAUGCUAUAAUCCAAGUAGUAAUUGGUUGAAAUAAGAAGUAAUUGGUUGAAUUGAAUAAGAAACAUUGGGAGGAGAAUAAUUAGUUGAGACAAUUAAUAAGGGUAGUAUAGUAUUUUCGCUAAGUAUUAAUUAUAUUUCUUAAUCUAUGUGCAUUAACCUUAAACGACAAUCUUUUAGGAACAGAAGAAGUACUAUUAAUUACAUGUACGAAAGUCGAUGCAAGUGAUUUGCAUUCCCUCUUUUCCAUUAUAUAACUCGCUUUACAAAAAAAAAAUCUAUAAUAUAAGACGUUUUAUAUAUAUAUAAUCAUUUUCUAUUUUUUUGAAAACAUGAGUUUUGUAAAGCUUAAUGCAAGUUUUAAUUUUUAUAGUUUAUAAGUCUCGUAAGGUGUAACAUCCCCUUUCCGAAAUAGAAAGAGAGGUCACGCACAACACAACAGAACUAACGAAUACCACAAGGCUCUAAACCACAAAAGAAUAAUCUCAUAAUAAUUAAAUCUCAUAAGAUAAACCAUAAUAAACGUCACACUGGCUCAAACCACAAUCUAAAAUAAUUAUUACAAUACUAAAUAAAUUGACAUAACAAGCCUAAACAGAAUAUUUCUAAACCAUUGGAAUGAAGGGAGCUCUCAUCACACUUGUCCUUGAUCCCCCUGAUUACCUGCCGGAAGAAAAACACAGCAUGAGCCAAAUGCCCAGUACAGAUAUAGAAUACAAAUAAUGAACUGAAAUAACUAACUCAAUUAAAUGAAAAGAGACGAAACGAACUGAAACGAAAUGAACAAAACUAACACAACGAAAUAAUAGGCUGAAUCAAAUGGUUGAGUGUUAUUUCAUACCGAACUCAAAAUAAAUAGUAAUAUACCUUGCCACACAGGCAAGUCAAAUAAUGUCACACAGACAAUCAAAAUAACGCCACACAGGCAAUCACACAUCGGACUGCGCAAUCCAGAUGCGUGCAAAAUCGGAAGGUGUGUUUGGCACAAACAUCACCAAUCCGCAAAACGGAACAGAACAGAAAACUAGGGUCGACCCAUACGCCUUCCACAACAAAACACCAAAUGGCCAACUCCCACCAGAGCACAAAACGGAGACGCCGUGGACUGAUCACACCGCCACGGAAGGUGUCAUGCCUCGGUGCCAAGAGGACAUGUCUGUGAUACCCCCACAGGUGGUUAUAGCUCAGGUAUACCAUACGGUAUUCUAACAAAAACAUUAUGUCACAACACAUGCGACACAAUAUCAACACAAAUGGGUUCUAACAUGUACAUGUUAAAUCAAACGAAUCGUCACCACAAGCCUCCAAAACAUUAACAUGUGUUUUCUACGAGAAUCAAAAUAAAUACAAAAGAUGUCACACUAGAUCAAGAGUACAAACACGAGUUUUAAGUAUCAAUACCAAGACGGAACUAUCAAAAUAAAUUUAGACAUGUUAUACUAGUCUAAAGAGUACAAAUAUGAGUUCCAACUAUGAACACCAAAACGAAUUAUCAAAAUAAAUUGACAAGGAAUAAUUAUGAGAUGCAAUACUAAAUUUCGAAAUGGACAACGAAACGAACAAAUUAAAAAUAAAAGAGUCUCACUGAAAAAGUACGGAAUCCGUACCUGAAUUAAGCAAAGUAAUACCCAAAAUUAUACUCCAAAUUUAACUCGUUUAAACUCUCUCCGUUCAAUCUAAAUAAUUUAAUAAAAUUUUAUUACAAUCCAAUCAUUAAAAAUAUAAUACUAUUAAAUUUAUUAUUAAAAACUUUUAUAAUUAUGUUGGCAAAAUUAAUCAAUUCAAUUUAAUAUACAUAACCUCAAUUUAAUUUAUAAAUUUUAAUUUAUAAACUUCAUGACUAAUAACCUAUUAAAAUGUAAUAUAUAAAUAUAUAAAUAUAAUAUAUAAUAAAAUCAACCCUCCAAGUUGCAGGAAAUCAAACAUGACAUAUAUAUAAGCAUAAUAUAAUUAUAAUUCUUAUUAAUACUUGCAGCAACUUAGCAUCCAUCAUGAUAACGAAAUCUUCUUUUUUCUUUCUUUUUUUUUUUUUAGCAAAGUUCAAUCAAACAACUGAAACAAGUAAUCUGACAAAUUUAUAAAUAUGUAUAUAUCCAGUCAAAUCAGUCAUACCCUCCUAUACUUCUACUAUUUACCGAUUAUAUGAUUCCUCUAAAAGAAUAUGCAUUACCUAGAAUUAUAAAAAAAAAAGCAAAAAAACUUGCCUGAUGUUAAACAAAAUUGUGAAUUUUCUUCCUCCUUUUUCCAGCUUCCUUCUUUUCCAGCGUAGUCGCCGACCUCUUUCCUUUUCUUUCUUAUUUGUAGCGCAUGUAUGAUUAGAUUUUAGUGUCUAUUUAUUUAUUAAUUAUCUUAAGUAUAAUAGUAUUUAAUAUUGCCCACAUAUAAAUUAAUCCCAAUUAGUUUUAAGGUCCAAUUUGUACUAAAUUAAUUUACCCAUCUCUUAUUAAUAUUUAUUAGCCCACACAAAUUAAAUAGCUAGUUUGACCCAAAAUAAAUGACAAAAUUCAAUUAAUAUAUUUUAAAACAAAGAAAUUUUUUUAUUUAAUUUUUAUUUUUAUUUUUCCGGAGUAUUACAUAAGGGGCAUGGUGGUCCAACCGUAUGGAUGAUGGUACAUGCGGUUGGUUUCGGAGGGGGCCUUAAAUUUGGAAGUGUCCGGAUACAAUAUUGUUCCUAGAUUUCAACGAGAUUGUCAUUAGUGAUGGUAGAUUUGGUGUUGGCAUGGGUGAACUUUAUUUCGUGUGAAUACACUUUAAUUAAUCAUUUUAAAAAAUUCUAACUCUGCUUUGGAUGGAUCCAUGAUUGGAGGGCAGAAUUGAUGGUAGUGGUAACUGUGGUAGCUUGAGUAAUGGUGACAGUGCCACAGUGCAGUGGUGGCGCUUGUGAAGCUGAUGGUGGUAGUGGUAGAGCUGCUUAUUGGGAUGGGUGAAAUGGAGGAAAUGAGGAUAACGUCGAUGGGCUUGUUGGUGACUUCGCGCGCUUCUAGAAGAAAGACCAUUAAAUGGGUUGUCAUGAUUGCAACCGUGAGAGUAUAGAUGGGGCCCAACAAUGAAGGAUGUAUAUGUUAUCCAGACGUUUUGGACUUACUAUAUUUAUUAUUAUUUCUGUUCUUUAAUAUAAG
Molecule: long non-coding RNA, 5463 nt
Filed under: Panax ginseng (ginseng)
Lineage: Eukaryota; Viridiplantae; Streptophyta; Magnoliopsida; Apiales; Araliaceae
Description: long non-coding RNA (PGIN_LNC013369)
Source: RNAcentral